Molecule: non-coding RNA, 113 nt
Organism: Capsicum annuum
Lineage: Eukaryota; Viridiplantae; Streptophyta; Magnoliopsida; Solanales; Solanaceae
Source: Rfam
GAGAGCACAGUACGAUGAAAGUUGUAAGCUGUAUUCGGGGGGGAGUUAUUGUCUAUCGUUGGCCUCUAUAGUAGAAUCAGUCGAGGGACCUGAGAGCCGGUGGUUUACCCUAC